RNAcentral lists this ribosomal RNA (523 nucleotides) under uncultured bacterium. RNAcentral's name for it is "bacterial SSU rRNA". It matches the Rfam family "Bacterial small subunit ribosomal RNA", at positions 8 to 523 of the family's 1533-position model. The record is from RNAcentral.
AGAGUUUGAUCCUGGCUCAGGAUGAACGCUAGCGACAGGCCUAACACAUACAAGUCGAGGGGCAUCGAGGAUUAGCAAUAAUUUGUCGGCGACCGGCGCACGGGUGAGUAACACGUAUGCAACCUGGCUUCAACACGAGAAUAACCCGUUGAAAGACGGCCUAAUACUCGAUAAAACAGGGACCCCGCCUGGGGAUAUUUGUUAAAGAUUUAUCGGUUGAAGAUGGGCAUGCGUAUGAUUAGCUAGUUGGUGAGGUAACGGCUCACCAAGGCAGCGAUCAUUAGGGGUUCUGAGAGGAAGGUCCCCCACACUGGUACUGAGACACGGACCAGACUCCUACGGGAGGCAGCAGUGAGGAAUAUUGGUCAAUGGGCGCGAGCCUGAACCAGCCAAGUCGCGUGAAGGAAGACUGCCCUAUGGGUUGUAAACUUCUUUUGUACAGGAAUAAAGUGAGUCACGUGUGGCUUUUUGUAUGUACUGUACGAAUAAGGAUCGGCUAACUCCGUGCCAGCAGCCGCGGUAA